AGCUGCUGUUAUCAGAGAUUCGGGCCGCCGCCGGCCGUCACUCAAAAAUUAUUGACGGAGCUGCUGCCGGGCCGAUUUGGAGUUGCGACUACUUCGUUUUGUUAAUUCAGAGUUAGAAUCCAGUUUGCUUGUGCCGUUCGAAGCUAUUUCUGCUUUUGAGAGAGCAAGCAGAGCCGAGGUUUUGGUUGCCGGUGAUUUUGGAUUGAGA
Arachis ipaensis is the source of this 208-nucleotide non-coding RNA. NCBI's taxonomy places the organism in Eukaryota, Viridiplantae, Streptophyta, Magnoliopsida, Fabales, Fabaceae. The record is from RefSeq and is a predicted model, not a curated record.